This is a non-coding RNA of Dipodomys ordii (Ord's kangaroo rat), 65 nucleotides long. NCBI's taxonomy places the organism in Eukaryota, Metazoa, Chordata, Mammalia, Rodentia, Heteromyidae. The record is from Rfam.
GGUGGCUCAGUGGUAGAGCGCUUGCCUUGUAUGCAUGAGUCCCUGAGUUCAAUUCCUCAGCACCA